This 253-nucleotide ribosomal RNA is filed under the name uncultured bacterium. RNAcentral describes it as "partial 16S ribosomal RNA". It matches the Rfam family "Bacterial small subunit ribosomal RNA", at positions 524 to 776 of the family's 1533-position model. The record is from RNAcentral.
UACGUAGGGUCCGAGCGUUGUCCGGAAUUACUGGGCGUAAAGAGCUCGUAGGUGGUUUGUCGCGUUGUUCGUGAAAACUCACAGCUUAACUGUGGGCGUGCGGGCGAUACGGGCAGACUAGAGUACUGCAGGGGAGACUGGAAUUCCUGGUGUAGCGGUGGAAUGCGCAGAUAUCAGGAGGAACACCGGUGGCGAAGGCGGGUCUCUGGGCCGUAACUGACGCUGAGGAGCGAAAGCGUGGGGAGCGAACAGG